Molecule: long non-coding RNA, 1971 nt
Filed under: Rhagoletis pomonella (apple maggot)
Lineage: Eukaryota; Metazoa; Arthropoda; Insecta; Diptera; Tephritidae
Description: uncharacterized LOC118735452
Source: RNAcentral
CAUCCCGAGUUAAUUAAAGGAAGGUAAAAAAAGAGUAAAGUUGUAUUUAAUUGAGUAUAAAUUGAGUUAUUUGAACUUGGUAGGCUAAUGUGGCAUUUGUUGGCACUGGCGUGCUUUGCUGAACUCGGCCAAAAUCGCUUAGGCGGUUACAGCGCCAAAAAAGAAGAAGAAAAAGUAAUAUCCAAUGGAAUCAAAGCUGACAUAGAAGCCAGCACUGAUUACAUUACGCCUGCUUGGGGUUCCAAUAGUAAGGUACCUAUUAGGUUCCCGACUAAAGAAGAAUGGCAUACAGGACUGGCAGUAGCUGAGAAAGGUUUAUCCAUCUACACUGAUGGAUCAAAGAUGGGACAAUAAACCGGAGCCGGUCUUUACUCGAAGGACCUGCAGACCAACCCGUCCUUUCGUCUUCCGAAUGACUGCAGUGUCUUCCAGGCAGAUAUCUAUGCUAUAGAAAGAAGAUAACACCACUAUCCUCCACUAGGAACUAAAAUUCUGAAAUCGGGAAAUGGGAAUGUCGCACCACUCUGGCGUCACUGAGUCGUAUCAACGUACAUAUUUCUAUGCUUAGUCCCCUGACAUAGCAAUGUUGAACUGAAUAUGCCUGAGAUGCCAAUAGAACAAACGGAUAGCUCCGUUUAGUGGUCACGUUAGGAAAAUUGAUGCCUUGUGACUUGUGGAACAAACGGGAAGACUGUGCGAGAUUAUUAUGGCCGCGGCUCAGUAGGAAAAAGACGACGGAAGUAGUAAAACUCAAUAGGUUUGCAGUAAGAGACCUUACCGGCGUCAUCACAGGACACUGUGCUAUAUCACCAAUACUUCAACGGUGGCUAAUACCAACAAGUAAUCUAUGCAGAAGUUGCUGUGAUGAGGAUUAGCCGAUUGACCACUUUCUGUGUCGACGUGCCUUAAGCACUUGGAUCUCCUCAACUUCAUUAGGGACAGUAAUGUGUUCAGUAGAAUAAUGGCUUCAAUGUACUCUCUCGAUUAUGGGUACGUGUCUCCUCCUGACAUUCGCUUAAAGAGGGCACUGAAAAUGGACAAGCACAUAAGUCUACCGAGUGAAAGUAUGGAGUAUUCCACACACGCCUUCCUAACCUAACCAUUUCGCCACUGUUAAAAGACUUUAUAGGACCUCGUUUAUCUGUGAACCAGCAUUAACACUGACAAUACUGUAAGAGGGACUGCGGGAGUUGAGUAUAAACUUAACACUGUCCAUCCCGAUCAUCCACGAGCUGUAAAAAAUAAAAACCUAUGAAAGCGUUACUUCUCCCCAGCCUGACGAAGCGCCUCAAACUAGCCUAACAGCAUCAUGGAUUUCGGAAAAUGCAUAACACCACAACAGCAUUGAACGCCAUCACCAUAGAGAUAAGCGAUAGUCUGAACCAACGUCUACCAUCUGGCGGUCCUAGUUUCAGGUAUUCGUUGAAUCGCGCGACGCUUUGCCAAGGACUCGUCGCUUCCACGCCAAUCAGCUGAAUCCGUAACGCCAAGUCUAAGCCCCAUAGAAUUAAAUCGUUAAAACUGUUAUAAUCCGAAAGAUGCAUUUUUACGUGACGAGGUGCUCGUUCACGACUGUUAUGAUUCGACCCCAGGGGUUCCUCAAGCGGGCGUACUCUGCCUGACAAAAACUCUCUCUGCCGCUAGCUGGAAUUAACUUUGUGAGCUUCGCUUUACCACCUGAACUAAGAAGAUCAGGCGCCAUGAUAACAACGCAUCGGUCAACCAUCCUAAAAUCUGGGAGUAUCGUAUCAGAGAAUCUAUCACGAAAACUACCAAAACUUAAGAAAAUCAAAGGAAACCUUCUUAACGUUUUCUCUUUUUUCUUUGUUUUUAAUGAUUAAUAAUCAAAAACUUACAUACAAAAGAUAUAUAGUAAAUAUUUAAGAUCAAUAAUUAUUAUUAUAAUGUGUAAAACUAGAAACUGUAAGCAGACAAUUAUAAUAAAAAAGUUUAGAUAAUUUAUAAUUUUAA